RNAcentral lists this non-coding RNA (122 nucleotides) under Pseudoxanthomonas suwonensis. Its description in RNAcentral is "Glycine sequence". It matches the Rfam family "Glycine riboswitch aptamer". From Rfam's summary of the family: This family represents the bacterial glycine riboswitch. Glycine riboswitches usually consist of two metabolite-binding aptamers domains with similar structures in tandem. The aptamers cooperatively bind glycine to regulate the expression of downstream genes. The record is from RNAcentral. RNAcentral also lists the same sequence under 1 other name. Lineage: Bacteria; Pseudomonadati; Pseudomonadota; Gammaproteobacteria; Lysobacterales; Lysobacteraceae.
UGCAAACACUCUGGAGAGACCGGCCGCGCGAGAGCGCCGGCGCCGGCGCCGAAGGGGCACGAAGCACGCGACCUCGUCCGCGCGUCUUCCAAACUCUCAGGCAAAAGGACAGAGGGGCAUCC